This 934-nucleotide long non-coding RNA is filed under the name Homo sapiens (human). RNAcentral describes it as "novel transcript". The record is from RNAcentral. Lineage: Eukaryota; Metazoa; Chordata; Mammalia; Primates; Hominidae.
AGGCUCAGGCAAGUUCAGCAAUCUGUCCAGGGUCACUAAGGUGUCUGCAGCACAACAGCCAACACUUCUGGAGCACAUGGCCCUGCAGUGAAGGAUUCUGGAGCUCACAUUUGUCUGAAGGGGAUCCGAGGAGGUUCUGUGUUGUUGAAUGUGAUUGAGAAGCUCAGAGUAGAUGUAGACGCCGAGCUGGAGGAGAGCCUGUGCCUCAUCCUGAGAUCCUGGCCAAGUCACUGUCUAUCAUACCAGGCUUGUGUAACAUCACCCUGGAUUGUAGGGCUCCAGGAGCCACAGAGGACCUGAAUGUGACUUGGGAGAGCAAGGACCUCCUCAGAGAGCUGGAGCACAGAGAAACACGAGGACCAGCCCCUAACCCCUGGAUCCUGGCUGUGGACCUGCCCCUGAGCCAGCGGAACAGCAAUCUCACCUGUGUGGUCAGCAACUAGGUAGAUCAGAAAGAUGUAACCUUACCUUGGGGAAGCCUGUGUCAAGGUUCAUGUAGACUGGACACGGCUCUCCUUCGCGAGAUAUUCUUGGAGUCAUUGCAUUUGUGCUGUUGAUCCUGGGAGCUGGGCUAUACCUCUGGAAGAAAUGUGGGAAGAAGAAGAAGAAGAAAGAUGAAGAGGAAGAAGAGGAAGAGGAGCAGAAGGAGGAGGAGGAGCGGGAGGAGACAGGAAUAGGCAGGUUGCAUUUCUCCAUCGAGGCCCAGAUAUCUCCCCUCCCCCACUAGAAUCUGGGUUCUCUUUCUCCUGAAAGAAUGUCAUUGUUUAGCUAUAUGAAUAACCCUAGAUAUAGCAUCGAGUUAACAUGUCCAAGAUAUUUGUUACUGGAAAAAACUGAACAGCAAUGCAUGGUAUGAUUUAAUUUUUGUAAAAGUGUAUAGAUAGGUAGAUAGAAAGAUAAGCACAGAAUAAAAUCUAUACUACAUGACAGAUUA